UGAAAUAUAUGCAUAAAAAUCUUUAUGAAAAGAAAGCUUUGGUUGUUUAGUUAUCCAAAUUUAAAAGCUAUUGAUGAGAAUGAAGGAUUUGUCUGCUGUAUUUGAUGGAUAUUAGUUUAUUAAGUAUUGUUUAAUUUUUAAAAAGUUUUCAGUCUUUUAUACUGGAGGAACUAAGUUUGAGUUUGUAUGAGAUUUGUCUGGCUUCAAAAGAAAUAUCUUGCUUCAAAGUAACAUGGAACAAAUGCCAUGCUGCUGUAAGUGUGAUAUGUGCUCUCCUGCUGAUUUCUUACAUUUUAAGAAUAUAACACAGUUUCCUCCCCUACCAUACAUUCCUGGAAUGUACACCUUUUAGCUACAAUGUUGUGAGGUGGGCUGCACUACUUACCUUUUUCGUAGAACCUGUGUAAAUUAAUAUCUGAAGUUGAUUUGAAACACAGGAAAUGGUGACUAUGACAUAAUUCACCCCGAACUGUUCAGAAGUAACACACCAACCUACGUCUGAACUAAGGCACUAUGCUUAGUUUUUGCAAUUUUUGGAAGAAAAAGGCAUUACAUUACAAUAGAUUUCUGGUACAGGGUAUAUACAGAGGUCCUCUGCUGGUUGGAUUUGACCAGGGAUGAAUCCUGUCAUAUAUUUAUAUCAUAAUAAAGGCCAAUGUUUAACAUAGGAAAAGUAAAGCUAGACACAAAAAUGAUCAUUAUUAGCAUACAUUUUGUUAUGGAGUUAAAUGGAAAUAAUCACAUCCGAUGAAAUCCAAACAUUCAGUGAUUUACAUAUCAGUUGGUUGAAAUUUGGAAACUUAACCUCCCCCAGGACCUUGAAAUGUUAUCAGUUAAAGGGAGUGGGGUUGAGUAGCUCUCCCUCUAUAGCAUCCUUGCCUUGAUCACAAAAAUAGAGGAAUAGAUGUCGAGGCAACAUAACGUGUGGCUGCUCGAGCAGAACACUUUACAGUGCAUCUCAAAAUGUGUCAUACGGUGAAUCUUGCUUGCUUGCCUACUUGAGUGGUUUCUCACAACUGCUGACUGAUCUUAAAAUGAUUUAUCUACCAUUUCCCUUUAUCAACCUUUGAUAACCAUUUUUUUGCUGCAUACUGAUCAUUCCUCUCCCAAACUGUCUUGUCUAUUGAUUAAAAAAUGGCCAAUGGCAAAUUUGACAUUUCAUAGUCAAACUAUGAAGGAACUUUCUUGACUUAUGUCACAUGUUAGGCCUAAAUAUAGGCCUGUACUUAAUAAAAUUCUGCAAAAGAGGGUCAUUAAUCCACCAGUGUUUUUAAAUGUCUGCAUAAUUAAUUGUAAGGAAAAUGUAUUUUUUGGUGUUUAAAUUGGUGCAUAAUCCUUAUUGUGGUGUUACCACUCAGGACCAUUUUAACUUGAACUCUGCCUUUGGGCCCUGGAUGUUUGAUACAGUCGGUGACUUGUUUUAACCUAUGACAGUUGUGAAGGCUGACCCUGUGAGCUCACCUUUGGAUGAAAAUCUUUUUUUUCUCCUCCAAAUACUCCCGAAUAAUGAGCUGUGGUUACUAAAUAUUUUGCUGCUGCUUUUUUAAAAAAUUUUUUUAUUAUUAUUUCCUUUUUUGUGUGUGACACACCUUCUCUGAAAUGUAUUGCGUGGUUAUCAUGAUUGGCCUUUAAUUUGUUAAAUAUAUACACAAUUAACUAAAGGCCAUGUUUUGUAAGCAGUAUUAUUUUUUUUGAGCUUUCUCUGUGUUGAAGUUUCAAAUUUCUGUGGGACAAACAGAAGUGGAACAAAAAUUCAGAAAAAGUGAAUAAAGUGGAGCAAAUUUCUGAUUCAAAUAUCACCACUGUAUCCUAACUAGAGCUUUCGUGAUUACUCGAUUUAACUCGAUUACGUGAUUAUUAAAAAGCCUUGAUUAAAAUUUUCCUUCUCGAUUACUCUGCAAUAUGGUGGAAGGAAGAUGAUGCAUAGAGAUGAGGAUCCAAAUAAUGACCGAAAGCAUCAUUUAUGUAGAAGCAUUUUACAUUAAAAGUGAAUGAAAAUGCAGUCAUCUGUCAGUAUUUCAAAGCAGAACUUAAAUAUCACCACAGCAUGACUGCGAUGCAAAUACACAGUAAAAGAAGACCUAAAUGUUUGAGGGACAUUCAAUAAUGCAAGGUUAGAUAUGAGAUAUCUUACAUUUCGCCUCUCAGAGUAGCCUAGCAUGCCUUUAUCACCACUUCGACUGAAAUUAUUUUGUUUAAUUUACUUUUUACAAAUCCCGUAUGUCAAAAUAGUCGCUGCUUAAACAAAGGUUAGACCCUUCUAGCUGCAUCAUUUUACAUAGUAUGGUACAUAUAACCAAUUAGAAUUAUUUUUUGUGAACACAUUGUGUGUUAGGGCUGAACAAAACUGGAAAAAGUUCACAUUGCUAUAUUUCUAGUGUUUGCGAUAUUUAGCAGUUGAAAAUUUGAAAAGUCUGUCAUAAGUUGGUGGUGCCGUGCUUUGUGCUAGCAGAUAUAAAGCAGUGCUGACAAAACUUACUUCUGCUCAAUAUUGUUUGUAUGGAAUACAAAAUAUUUCCAUAUAGUGGAAAGACUUUUUUUAUGACCAGUUCGUUUUCGCCUUUUGACUUGUUUAAUUUCUCAAAUGUGCCACAAGAUCUAUGAGUAAGUUCAACAGCAAGAAUGGGAAUGAUAAUGAUUGUCUUGGGGAGCUCAUGCAGAGUUCAUUCAAAAGCAGUGGUGGUAAACUUCUUUAUUUAUUAAUUUUUAAAGCAUACCCUGGAUAAUGUUGAAAAGGAACCAUCAUUAAAAUUGCAAAGCUUGCUAAGUUAUGUUUCAUCAGACUGAGUAAAAAUAUUUCAGCACAUUUUAUUGAUGAUGUGAACCCAGCAGACUCUUGUGGUCCUUGCCAUGUGACAGUUGCAUGUGCAUGGAAUGCCAUGUCGAUAUUAACAUUGCACCAUGUGCAUGUCUAUAAAAUGAGGACAGUAUAGUGGCGCAGUGGGUAGCACUGUCGCCACACACCGCCAUGUUGUGUGUGUGUGUGUGGAGUUUGUAUGUUCACUCUGUAUGCGUGACUUUUCAGUGGAUCCUCUGGUUUUCCUCCACUGUCCAAAAACAUGCAGCUAAAAUGAUUUGGAGUGCCUAAACUGCUGGUAUGUAUGACUGAGUGUGCACUGUGCAAUGGAUGAUUUGUCCCUGCCUUGUGCUAGCCUAAUUAUAUUAUAAUUUAGUUAUAGUAUAUUAUGAUAUAUAAACAACUACUUGAUGAAUCCUCAGAUUAAUCUGUAGCUUACUCAGUUAUUGAUAAAUUUGAUAAUGACAGCUCUACACCUAAACCUUAUUUUAAGAUCUGUCUAUUUCAGACUUCUCCUUGAGUAUUUGUCAUAAAAUACUGAAUUACAGUAGCUUUACUAGAGGUGGAAUAUGAUGAAGGAUACCCCACUAUGAAGUAUCAUUGUGCAAAAUAAAUAAAGCAAAGCUAUUAACUUUGUUUUAUAAUGAUCGUUAUACAGACAUUUUACCUGAGUGGUUUAGUGUUUUUAAAUUCUAUAUUUUUAAAACAUUUAGUUUGAUCCAAAGAAGUCUACAAUAAGUGGUGUAGUUUAUGGUAAUUAUUUUGUGAUGGAAUUGUUGGUGCUUGUUGAAGUGAGGAAAAAAAUUAUUUUAAAUCAGCAAAAUAUUUUGAAUUCUGGAACCUUUGGUCUGACAAUGAAAGAUUUUUUUAUUAUUAAAAAAUCUUUAAAUGUUUAAAAUGCUUAUCUAGAUAAUAGCUACACGUCAGUGCUUUAUCCCACCUUGGCAUAAUAACAAAACUAAUUAAUUUGGCUUGUUUUUGUGCUGGGACUGGGUAAUGAUUUUAAGAAGCAACAGUCAAUAUAUUUCAAAGACCUGUUGCUGGGUUUUAAAGAGUUUUCUUUAAAUAUUCACAGUAGUCAUGAAUGGCUGUUGACAAUGUUGGAGUAGCUUCAUAUAGUAGUUUACUUAUGUGAUGCUUUUGAGAAGCUCUCUCUGAUUUUUACUUGUAAUGUUAACUUCCUUUUUUUAUUACUGUUCUGAUUGAAUGCUUUUGUGGCAAUUGUCAUAGUUGGGCCUGUAUAAUACCUAAAUAAAACUUCAUUUUUGCUCUCAAACUGACCUGACUUGACCUGUCUCAAACCAUCAGGUUUAUUGCAGGUUUAUUUUCAUAGUACCAGUGUUCAUUUAAUAAACAAUCAGGUCUGACAUGCAUUUUUAAAAAUUAAUUGUAGUGAUUUCCCAUCUGUUUCAUAAAAAUUUUAACCUGAUGGUAGAUUGCAGCACAUUAAUUUAUUUAGUAGUAGUUUUUUGUUCAAAGUGAUGUGCAAGUUACUACACACAUUUUGUACAUCCAAACUGUUUAAAAAUAUUGAGGUUGCUAUAUAAUGUUGUGCAUGGUUUUUCUGACCAUGAAUACACAUUACCAGCAAAUCACUGUUAAAAUGCUGUUAUUAAUGCAUGUAUUUUUUUUUCUGGACUAUGAAAUCUAUGCACCUAACACACCUCCACCAGGUACUUGGUGUUCCUACUUGUUUGAUUGUUUGGUUCAGGUGUGCUUGGAGGGUGCAAAAAUGUAGGCUGCUGGAGGCCCCCGCAGACUGGGUUGAUAAUCAGUGUUGUACACUCUUUUUAAGGAUUUCCGUAAAAGUCUUAUUUCCAGAGUAACACAAUUAGAUCUAGUUGAGUCCCGAUGCUUGUAUUAUUGUAUUUUAAAUGUCAAUUAUAUGGCUAAGCUUUUACAGAACUUACACUACUAUGCUAAAAAUAUUUAUUCCUAGUGAUUUUUAAUGUUGAGGACCUUCACAUCAGUGCAUUGCUUAUGCAUAAUUCCUACUUUUUUAUGCAUAGAUACAGACUGUACUGAAUUACGACUCGGUUCUGUUCUGAUUUUAUGUCGAAAUUGACGUAUGUUGCAAUAGGGCAAUCGCACUGACUUUUGAGCAUUAAACAGAGAUGUGCGUGAGGUGGGGAUGAUCUCAUUGCCGUACAGUACUUUUCUGCGGCACCUAUCAUAUGGCACGCAGCAUGCAGUAGGUAGAGUAGUAUUGCUAGUUGUACAACCUCCAACUUUUUUGCAUAAAUUUGUUCAACUUUAUUUAUUUGGUUGGUUGGUUGCUUGAUGGCUUAUUAAUUAAUUUAAAAACCUGUACGUGUGUAUCAUUGUAAGUCGCAUAGGUUGUGAGUUAGGGACAGUCUGUAGGAGUAAUAAGAGUAAUCCUGCUUUGCCCUUCAUUCUUAUGUACUCUGCCAAUAUGUCGUCAGUGAGGAUUAAAUGGGUAUCACUGCAUGUAAAAUCUGUUUUCAUUUGUCAGUUAUAUUUUCUCAGGCACUGAUUGGUCACAAUAUAUUAAGUUCAAACAUCCAAAAUGUCUUCAUUAUCAGUCCUGUAGCUAGAAAUAUGGGAAUAUGGAAUUAUUCUAUCAAGAUGCACUCCCAUCCAUCCAUCCAUUCAGUUUCUGAAACGGCUUGUCCUAUUCGGGGUUGCAGAGGCUACGGGCACAAGGCAGGGAACAACCCAGGAUGGGGCGCCAACCCAUCACAGGGCACACUCACACACCAUUCCAAGAUACUUUAAAGGUGACACACCAAACAUUUUAAAGCUAUGUGGCCUUAUACCUUCUCUACCUGAUAUUUAUUCCUUUUUUAUCACCAUAUUGCCGGCAUAACAUUCUUAUUAUGAAGAUACUCACCAGGCAGAUAUGGCAGUGUACUUCACACUCUACAGGUUAUGUCAUGCAGGGCAGAAGUUGCUGAUGCCCAGUGGAGCAGCAUAGUUGACUACUGCCAACCAGCAGGUGCCUUAUGAGUCUGUAGAAAGCACUUGUGCAGUGACCAGCUGAGAGAUACUGGAAGGGUGAACUAACCGUCCCAUGUGUAAUGAUGACACAUGAAAACUUCUGGCUAACGGAGCACAAGCAAGAUGUGUGGCCUGUAGAAGUCACUAUUUAUUGAGGCUGACACUUGGCACUCAUUUUGGUGUGUACUGUGAAAGCCGCUCUUUAUAAGCCGAUACUUUCAUUACAUGUUUAGGCCUUUAAAGGUAAAUGAUAAAUUUACCAUACAUGCAGUGACGCAUGGGAGAAUAGUGCCUAUGAAUUAAGCCACAUCCUUUCCACGAAAUAAUCCGGGUUGUAAAGCUUUCUGCUGCGUAAAGGGUUUUCAGUUUUCUUUUUUGAUGUUCUUUUUGUGCAUGCCUGUAUAGCGGUAUAUGGUGUUUCGUAACCACAUUUAGGUUUGUAUGUGCUUAGUGCUUUGUGUAGAUGGGCAUACAAGACCACUGAAUAAAGUUUUGUUAACUUGUUUUGUGUUCUUAUUUCUGUAACUCAAGGGAAUGUAAUUAAUUGAAUCCAAAUUCAUUAAUUACAUUACAUUAAUGACAUGAGAACUUUCCUGCAUUGGUUGUCUGUUAGUUGUUUUUCAGUAAAGGUUUGACAACAGUGGUCACAAUUUCUUUGUGAAAAACAAAAUCUUUUCCUUCUGUUGCUACUGCUGAGUUUUUUGCCAUAAUCUGCACUCUUUUCCAAAAAUUUUAAGAGAAUUAGGACAAUAUAUGCUAUUAUGGAGGGGUACAAAGGGAUCUGUUCACCUAGUGCAAAUGUCACAAAAUGAGGUUGAACAGUUGACCAUAUUAAUUUAAAUGACAAUUUGGAAAAUGUGAUGGAUGAAGAUUUGAAACCAGAAAUAUGUUGGCAUUUAGCAGAUUCUGGUAUAAUCACAAGCGAAAUCUCUCUUGAAUAUGCAACCAGAUCAAUUUGUUUUUGUACAACAAAGGUCAGUUCUCUGUUCCAUGUGAUUAUGGGCAGUGUAACAUGCAGUGGAUAACAAUGGACUCUAAGCAAACAGGCUAUGAUUAAACAUAAGGAAUAAAGCAAGUUUCAACAUUUUAUUAAGCUAUGGUGAACACUUGUGAUUUUGUGUAUGUAAUAAAGAUGGCUUUUAAUUUAAUUUGCAAAGUAUGUUUUUUGAAAUAUUUCAAAUGUUAUUAGUUACUUAUCACUAGGUUGGUUUCCUGGUGAUAUUGAUAUUAUGUCAUUAUUCAUGAACGUUUCUCCAUUGACAUUAUUUUAAAAUAUAAAUUAGAAUUUGAUUUGUUACAUUAGUUCAUACUUGCUCACUUGAAGACGAUUGUUAUAAAUUAAUUUUAUAAUUCGCUAUAAAAUUAUAUUGCUGUUUCAUGCAUUUUUAUGAUUUCCUUUUUCUUUUAUUGUGUUUUGUUAAUUCUGGUGAAAAGUGAGCAUUUGCCACUAAUUUUCUAUGAAUGACUGACAAGUCUUUUUAAGGAUGUCAUUACAGACCUCUGGCAGUUGCCUUACAGAAACUGAAUUUAAAUGUUCAGUUAAUUUUGCCAUUAGCAAUGGCAUAUUACAGAUACAAAGGAAUGAAUUAAAAGCAAUGUUUAUGAGAGCUGACUUGAAUUUUUUUAAAUAGAUGUUUAUGUUCCUCAUUGAUUCUUCUGCAGAAUCCUUUAUAGUUUUGUUAUAUGCAUAAUAAGUAUUGAUUUGCUUUAGAUACUCAUUGCAUUUUUUUUGUUUUAAAGAAAUUCUAAUUGAUCAUGAGAAAACAAUACCAUUUGUGGUUGUAAAUAUUGCUUCCAUUAACUUCCAUGGAAAUUUAGUGCUUUGUUGUUAUUAGGCAUCCAUGUACUCCUGUGUGUAUGUGUGUUUGUGUAACUAUCUUUUGGUGAGGUUUACGACAGUUGAAUCAUUACCCAGUAAACCAUUAUAUAUUUUAUUAAUCUCACGUUACCCCUACAGCUCCUAUGAAGGCAACCAUGUUAUCAUCAAUAGUUGUGCUAUGCUGAAUCACAGUAUCUUCAAACCAUGGGGAAAAAUUGCAACCAUUAAAUAUAAAAGAGGGGUCUAAAGCCCAUAUCCCUGUACUGGUACAGUUACACGUAUCAUUACCUGUUCUAUUAUACCUGUGCCUUUUCCAAAACUAAUUGUAUAAAUUCAGGAUAAAGAUUUAUUGAUGGAUGUAUUUGGGGGGAAAAUGAACUUAAACUGAUUACAGUAAUUAUUAAGAGUAUGAUGUUAAGCCAGUUGUGACCACUGGUGUUAGGCCUUCACUUUCUGAUGGGUGUGGGUUUGUGCAAGCAGUUUUAUUUGUUUUAGCCUUUUUUACACUUAGGUUUUUUUAAGCAUUUAUACAUUUUUUUAAACCUUACUGGUUACAAGAGAAAAUCAUCUGCGAUGUUCUGCUGCCUGUCUAAUGGUUAGUGAAUGUCUGAUAAAACCAUGAAAUGUAGAUAUCAUGAAAUGUAGAUAUCAAUUGAUCUUAUCAUAUAAGAUCAAUUGAACUUGCACACGUAGGAUGUCUUUCAAAGGAUUCAAGGCCUCAUAGGAACUGUUGCAUAACUAAUAUGGAUAUCAUUACGAAAAAUGAUUCCCUGCAUACUCCUCCUUUUUUUUAAUUUUUUUAAAACGUCCACUUGUCCUUUUGUGAAAACUUAAAAUAGACAUUUUAAUGGAUGGUUGUAAAGGCAGGUGGCGAUAAUAAAAUUUAUUUCAUUGUU
Paramormyrops kingsleyae is the source of this 8470-nucleotide non-coding RNA. Lineage: Eukaryota; Metazoa; Chordata; Actinopteri; Osteoglossiformes; Mormyridae. The record is from RefSeq and is a predicted model, not a curated record.